Molecule: ribosomal RNA, 380 nt
Filed under: uncultured eukaryote
Lineage: Eukaryota
Description: partial 18S ribosomal RNA
Rfam family: Eukaryotic small subunit ribosomal RNA
Source: RNAcentral
CAAUAGCGUAUAUUAAAGUUGUUGCGGUUAAAAAGCUCGUAGUUGGAGUUCUGCCAGGUGCCGCCUGUCCGCCCCAGUGGUGAGUACGUGGCGCGCAUUUGGCCCUUUCAAGGGGAGCGUAUCUGCACUUUAUUGUGUGGUGCGGGAUCCUUGACUUUUACUUUGAGGAAAUAGGAGUGUUCCAAGCAGGCUCUCGUCGUGCACAGCUCAGCAUGGAAUAAUAGCAUUGGACCUCGAUUCUAAGCUGUUGGUUGCCAGAAGCGAGGUAAUGAUUAAGAGGGACAGUCGGGGGCAUUCGUAUUUCAUUGUCAGAGGUGAAAUUCUUGGAUUUAUGAAAGACGAACUACUGCGAAAGCAUUUGCCAAGGAUGUUUUCAUUAA